AUUGAACGCUGGCGGCAGGCCUAACACAUGCAAGUCGAACGAGUGGCGGACGGGUGAGUAAUGUCUGGGAAACUGCCUGAUGGAGGGGGAUAACUACUGGAAACGGUAGCUAAUACUGCAUACCAUCAGAUGUGCCCAGAUGGGAUUAGCUUGUUGGUGGGGUAACGGCUCACCAAGGCUACGAUCCGUAACUGGUCUGAGAGGAUGAGCAGUCACAUUGUAACGGAGACACGGUCCAGACUCCUACGGGAGGCAGCAGUAGAGAAUAUUGGACAAUGGGCGGAAGCCUGAUCCAGCCAUGCCGCGUGUGUGAAGAAGGUCUUCGGAUUGUAAAGCACUUUAAAUUGGGAGGCGUUAUCUACAGAAUAAGCACCGGCUAACUCUGUGCCAGCAGCCGCGGUAAUUC
Molecule: ribosomal RNA, 406 nt
Filed under: uncultured bacterium
Lineage: Bacteria
Description: partial 16S ribosomal RNA
Rfam family: Bacterial small subunit ribosomal RNA
Source: RNAcentral